Molecule: long non-coding RNA, 1004 nt
Organism: Phacochoerus africanus (Common warthog)
Lineage: Eukaryota; Metazoa; Chordata; Mammalia; Artiodactyla; Suidae
Exons: 2
Source: RefSeq, a predicted model, not a curated record
UGAAUGGGACCUAAUCAAACUGACAAGCUUUUGCGCAGAAAAGGAAACCAUUAAAAAAAAAAAAAAAAAAGACAACCGGAGAUGGGAUUAAGAUGGCAGAAUAGAAUAGAAGAACUGGAGCUCAAUCUCUCUCCUAAAAACAACAAAAUUAUAACCAAACGCUGAGCAACCUUCAACCAAAUGGACUAGAAACUUUCAAAAAGAUAUCCUACUCCAGAAGACAAAAAGGUGGCCACAUCAAGAAGUAGUAGGACUAUUACAUGACAUAAGCAACCCCAUACCUCCCAGGUGGGAAGCCCCACAGACUGGAAAGUAACUGUAUCACAGAGACUCACCUAUAGGAGUGAGAGUUCUGAGCCCCACAUCAAGUCCCCACGCCUGGGGAUCUGGCACUGGGAGAAAGAGCCCCCUGAGCAUCUGGCAUUGAAGGCCAGUGGGGCUUGUCUGCAGGAACUCUGGGGGAAAUGGAGAGGGCUGGGGGAAAUGGAGACCCCAUUCUUGAAAGGUGCACAUAGACUUUCAAGUGCACUGGGUCCCAGGGCAAAGCAGAGGUUCCCUAGAUAUCUGGGCUGGACCUGACUGCAAUUCUUGGUGGAUCUUCUGAGAAAACGGGGGUGACUGUGGCUUGUUGUUGGGGGAGGGCAUUGGAGGCAAAGCUUCUGGGAAUAUUCAUCAGCAUGCAUUUCUCUGAAGGUGGCCAUUUUGGGAAUAUCUGGCCCCACCCAUCAGUGACAAGAAGCCCCAGGCCAAACAACAAUCUAGGAGUUCCCGUCGUGGCGCAGUGGUUAACAAAUCCGACUAGGAACCAUGAGGUUGCGGGUUCGGUCCCUGCCCUUGCUCAGUGGGUUAACGAUCCGGCAUUGCCGUGAGCUGUGGGGUAGGUUGCAGACAUGGCUCGGAUCCCGCGUUGCUGUGGCUCUGGCGUAGGCCAGUGGCUACAGCUCCGAUUCAACCCCUAGCCUGGGAACCUCCAUAUGCCACAGGAGCGGCCCAAGAAAUAGCAA